UUGCUUACAUGCUUUUGCUCUAUAAAUAUUUUUGUCAAAAUUAUGAAUCAAUUAUUUUACAAAUUUCAUGGAAAAUCAUGUUUCAAGAAGAGGAUUUGAUGCACAAACGGAAGGAAAACCUUAAGGUAUUUUUUGUCGAAGCAAUAAUGGUUCUGAACAUAUGCUCUGUAUGUCUAACAGUAUUGGCUUUACUAAAGUUGAAACACGAGUUUUUCAAGCUCCCAAGUUGGAUAUCGAAGAGGGAGAGGACUUCAAACCAACAAAAAUGAGAUACCCUUGAAGUGAGGCCAAAUGGGAUACCCUUGAAGAUGUUAUCUUGCAUACGGAUAACUUAUACCAUAGAGUCACAUGACAGAAAUGUCAUAACUUUCUUCCGAAGGUUUUUGAACUGGACCACGAGACAGCAUAUUUGGAACUUUGUCAGUGACUGGAGAUAUUAAACCAGUGUCAAACACAUGACCUAUUACAAAUUUACGUCCAAUGUUCAUGGCUUGAUUCUUUGUUAUUCUCAUUUUCUUUACUCUUUCUGUACAGUUGGACACUAGACGUAUUUUGAAAAGGCUGGCAAAGGAAAAUUUGAAGCAGCUGGGUCGGAUGGUUGCAAAAUUAGCUCAUGCCAACC
Vigna umbellata (rice bean) is the source of this 622-nucleotide non-coding RNA. Lineage: Eukaryota; Viridiplantae; Streptophyta; Magnoliopsida; Fabales; Fabaceae. The record is from RefSeq and is a predicted model, not a curated record.